CGCCCGCGCGCGCGGCGGGCUACGGGAGGCAGCAGUGGGGAAUAUUGCACAAUGGGCGCAAGCCUGAUGCAGCCAUGCCGCGUGUAUGAAGAAGGCCUUCGGGUUGUAAAGUACUUUCAGCGGGGAGGAAGGCGGUGAGGUUAAUAACCUCACCGAUUGACGUUACCCGCAGAAGAAGCACCGGCUAACUCCGUGCCAGCAGCCGCGUUAAUA
Molecule: ribosomal RNA, 213 nt
Filed under: uncultured bacterium
Lineage: Bacteria
Description: partial 16S ribosomal RNA
Rfam family: Bacterial small subunit ribosomal RNA
Source: RNAcentral